RNAcentral lists this ribosomal RNA (324 nucleotides) under uncultured bacterium. RNAcentral's name for it is "bacterial SSU rRNA". It matches the Rfam family "Bacterial small subunit ribosomal RNA", at positions 30 to 354 of the family's 1533-position model. The record is from RNAcentral.
AUUGAACGCUGGCGGCAUGCCUUACACAUGCAAGUCGAACGGCAGCACGGGAGGCAAUCCUGGUGGCGAGUGGCGAACGGGUGAGUAAUAUAUCGGAACGUGCCCGGUCGUGGGGAUAACGUAGCGAAAGCUACGCUAAUACCGCAUACGAUCUAUGGAUGAAAGCGGGGGAUCGCAAGACCUCGCGCGAUUGGAGCGGCCGAUAUCAGAUUAGGUAGUUGGUGAGGUAAAGGCUCACCAAGCCGACGAUCUGUAGCUGGUCUGAGAGGACGACCAGCCACACUGGAACUGAGACACGGUCCAGACUCCUACGGGAGGCAGCAG